UUGGGUCAACUUAGCCGCACUUUAUAAUUUAUUCCCCAUUUCAAAACAUAAAUUUAUAUUCUACCAAAAAAAACAUAAAUUUAUAUGCAUACUAAGACCCAUCUCUACCUAUGAUGUCAUGUGGGCUGGGUACACUAAAUUCUUAUCGGGUCGUUUUCCAGCUGCAUCUCGAGAGACCCGUCCUAUUUGUUGUUAUCUAAUUUCGUCCACAAGCAAAGCUGAUGGAAUCCCCUCCCCGACAAGAGUUGCACCAAUCCCCACCAUCCAAUCGAUGGAUCUCCACCACCAUCUUCCCCGACAGUC
Molecule: long non-coding RNA, 303 nt
Filed under: Phoenix dactylifera (date palm)
Lineage: Eukaryota; Viridiplantae; Streptophyta; Magnoliopsida; Arecales; Arecaceae
Description: long non-coding RNA (PDAC_LNC012922)
Source: RNAcentral